CAGUCGCCGCGGUAAUACGAGGGGUGCAAGCGUUAUUCGGAUUGAUUGGGUGUAAAGGGUGUGCAGACGGCUUAUUAAGUCACUUGUUAAAUUCUUCGGCCUAACUGAAGGUCUGCAAGUGAUACUGAAGAGCUAGAGGGUGGAAGAGAGAAGUGGAAUUCUCGGAGUAGCGGUAAAAUGCGUAGAUCUCGAGAGGAACACCAAUGGCGAAGGCAGCUUCUUGGUCCAUUCCUGACGUUCAUACACGAAAGCGUGGGGAGCAAACAGGAUUAGAUACCCCCGUAGUCCCUGUCUCUUAUAC
RNAcentral lists this ribosomal RNA (301 nucleotides) under uncultured bacterium. RNAcentral describes it as "partial 16S ribosomal RNA". It matches the Rfam family "Bacterial small subunit ribosomal RNA", at positions 509 to 807 of the family's 1533-position model. The record is from RNAcentral.